This is a long non-coding RNA of Mauremys mutica (yellowpond turtle), 1678 nucleotides long. RefSeq lists it as uncharacterized. NCBI's taxonomy places the organism in Eukaryota, Metazoa, Chordata, Testudines, Geoemydidae. The transcript has 7 exons. The record is from RefSeq and is a predicted model, not a curated record.
CUUAGUGAGAGAAGCCUGGCUAGAGCUUGGUAGCUCAGUUGGGUUCUGAUAGAGCCUCCCUGAGGGAAGAUUCCGUAAAGGAAGAUACACAAUGCUUGCUAUACAUGAUGAUUUACCAACAAGAGUACCAGAGACCAUAAACAGAAUAGCUCUGCCAGGAAGAACUCAUUAAACAGAUGUUUAAAUUGCCAGAAGACUUCACACAAGAUCUGCCAGGUGGUGUCCAUAUCAUCAUUUGACAUGGAAGUCAUGCUGAUGGCAUCCUUAAAGCAUGUCCUAAAUAUGUCAAUUGUCAUCUUCCCAUGUGGGAUACUUAAGGAAUCUCAUUCUUGAGGAGAUCAGAAAGGGGGCCACAAUGGAGGAGAACCCCAGGAUAAAGCUGCAGUAAUAGCUGUCUAGUCCCAGGAAUCGACGUACCUGCUUCAUUGAGGGUGCCAUGGGGCACAGCUGGAGAGCCUGGACUUUGCUAACCAAGGGUCGGAUUAUAUCUCUUCCCAAUGUGUACCCAAGCACCGCCAUCUUAUUGUGGUGAGGUUCUGGCAUAAUUACAUGACUGCAGGAGCUGAGGUUUUAAGAACACCACCAAAUAUCAUCGGAUAUUGAAAAGAAGUUUUCCAAGGCUGUACAAACUAUGAAAGGUCAUGGAAACUGGCUCUACAGCUUGAUGCCUGAUACUGGGGGAAAUCAGCUUGCAAAACACACGCACUCUGAAUAUCGGAUUGUUGUCAAGAAGUUUGGAGAGAAGAAGCUCAUAUAAACAAGCUCCUCAUUUUCCUUCUUACAGGAGGGGGCUGCUAACGGCAAAGGAAGCCCUGUCAACUUGAUUCCAUGAUGGUAGGGAGAGAGCCACUGGAGGGUUAAGGAGCAGAGUGGAGGUCAGAAGUUCCUGAGUGGAUGUUCUUGGCCUCCGGUGGAUCACAAAGACCUGGAAAUAUUUGGAAGUUGGAACACUUUGUCCUUACACUGCGUGGAGCAGACACCACUCCCUAAAAUGAACUAGAGGUGGUUGAAAAUUUUCAGAUCUCAAAGUUUUUCAACAAAACAGUGGGACAUAUUUUUCAAACAUUUGGAAAUAAAGAGAUGAUUUUUUUCAUACUACUAGCUCUAGGAACAAUCUUUUGGCACUCCAUGAAGAGGUCCUUCAUGGAGUUUUUUGUCCCUAUCACCUAUACCGUUCUUUUCUGUUUGUAGGAAAAAUCUAGGACUUUAUUGUUGCCACCAAAUUAAUACUGCACUAUUGAUAUUGUUUAUUAGUAACAUACUGUACACACUCUCUCUCCGCACCACUAAGGAAUUAUGGAAUAAGCAAUAGUUCAUAUUUUUAAUAAGCAAGACAGGGGAGGGAGGGCAGUCACCUUGCAUAGCCCAUUAAGCGAUAGAUUUUUUUUAAGUGAUGUGCAAGAAUUCUCCAUGUCACUCCAGCUAACAUCAACGGGAGUAUCAUAGUCCCCAGGUGUCACUUAAAGUUUUUUACCCAUAGACUUUUUUAAAAAGGGGAUGGUUGUUUUUUUUUUUUUAAUAGAAAGAAAAGAAGGGACUUCUGUGGGAUUGCAGUAAGGGCGGAAUUUGGCUGAUGAAAUUUGGAAGCCUAGUAUGUUUAGGAGGGAUCCAAGAAAUGCUCACUUCUUAAAUUCCUAACAUGACUAUUUAUUAUUUAACAUUUACAUUCUAGUAUUCG